Molecule: ribosomal RNA, 469 nt
Filed under: Lodderomyces parapsilosis
Lineage: Eukaryota; Fungi; Ascomycota; Pichiomycetes; Serinales; Debaryomycetaceae
Description: eukaryotic LSU rRNA
Rfam family: 5.8S ribosomal RNA (bases 131-284)
Source: RNAcentral
UACUGCAUUUUUUCUUACACAUGUGUUUUUCUUUUUGAAAACUUUGCUUUGGUAGGCCACUAUAUGGGGCCUGCCAGAGAUUAAACUCAACCAAAUUUUAUUUAAUGUCAACCGAUUAUUUAAUAGUCAAAACUUUCAACAACGGAUCUCUUGGUUCUCGCAUCGAUGAAGAACGCAGCGAAAUGCGAUAAGUAAUAUGAAUUGCAGAUAUUCGUGAAUCAUCGAAUCUUUGAACGCACAUUGCGCCCUUUGGUAUUCCAAAGGGCAUGCCUGUUUGAGCGUCAUUUCUCCCUCAAACCCUCGGGUUUGGUGUUGAGCGAUACGCUGGGUUUGCUUGAAAGAAAGGCGGAGUAUAAACUAAUGGAUAGGUUUUUUCCACUCAUUGGUACAAACUCCAAAACUUCUUCCAAAUUCGACCUCAAAUCAGGUAGGACUACCCGCUGAACUUAAGCAUAUCAAUAAGCGGAGG